AGAAACAGUAUCGAAGAAUGAACUGAGAAACCGUUAUUCUUCGUUUCUUUCUUCUGAUCGAACUUCUUCUUUUUCACUGUUCUUCUAGUUUUUUCUUCUCAAAAGAAUGAACUGAGAAAUCGUUCAUAUCAAUUAAGAAGAAAUCUGUAGAAGUAAAUGAAUCAGGAAGGUUUUACUGAGGUUGUGAAUUUGGUUUUGGUUAGGGUUAUUCUUGAUUGAAGAAAGACAAAUCAGUAAGAAAUAGAAUUAGGGUUUCUGCAGUUAGUAUUGAGUUUGUGUAAAAUCGAAGGAGGAAUUGGUAGAUUGAGUAACAUAAGUAGGAGACAAUAUAGUUAUAUUGACUCGGGUUACAGAGGAUAGGGUAAAUCAGGAAGAUGAAGUUAGGGUUUGGAAAUUGAUUUAAUGUUCAAUUAGUGACAGAUGGGAAGAAAUCAAAGACUGGGUUUGGUGAUUUGAGAAGUGAAUCGAUAUUUUGGAACGAUGUUUCUGAGAAUAGAUGAUGGUGAUUGAAGAUGAAACGGAUGGUUAAGGUUUGGAAUUUGAUUUAAGGUUACGGUAAAAUUGAGAAAAAGUGAAGUAAAGGAGGCUUUGGUCAAGUAUAUGUUGGUAGAAGGGUUUCAGGUGGAAGUAAGACUUCUUUUCUAACUAUUGUAGAAGUAUAGAAUCGAUAGACAUGGUUUUUUUUUAUGAUUGUCAGUGUUAUCUUGAGUUAUUGUUGUUUUGUAUUCUUUCAAGUCUCGUGCGAUGGAAAGUCUAAUGAUCAAAUUGCUCAUGGGAAAUCCUAUUUUGAUCGUUUACGUGUUGCGGUUUAUGAAGCCUUGCCUAUUUUCUGUCAUGUCGAACCAGAAUGGAAGCCAACUAGUUCAAAAACUUUGCAAACAUGUGCAAAAUAUGUACUUGGGGGAUUUAUACGAAAUACCAGUGAUAAACUGGGAUAAGCUUGCUACUAUGGAACAAGGAUGUUUCUAUCUCAAAGCUAUUAUUGAAUCCAUAGACGCGUCUCAAAUUUCAGCUGCUAUCAAUCAUCAUAGACCAGGCC
Long non-coding RNA from Papaver somniferum (opium poppy), 1039 nucleotides. RefSeq lists it as uncharacterized. The transcript is spliced from 3 exons. NCBI's taxonomy places the organism in Eukaryota, Viridiplantae, Streptophyta, Magnoliopsida, Ranunculales, Papaveraceae. The record is from RefSeq and is a predicted model, not a curated record.